Zophobas morio is the source of this 918-nucleotide RNA transcript. RefSeq lists it as uncharacterized. The transcript is spliced from 7 exons. The record is from RefSeq and is a predicted model, not a curated record. Lineage: Eukaryota; Metazoa; Arthropoda; Insecta; Coleoptera; Tenebrionidae.
AAAAACUUUCCGAAUUUUGGCUCAUCGUAGUUACUCGUCUUCGUGACGUCUUCUUUUAAAAAAAUAACAUCCCCGUUGAACAAAAAAAGCUGUUCCUGGGCUUAACACAUAAUCCUUUUUUUAUUCCAUGUCUAUACCGUACUUCAGCUAGUAAAAAAUGGUGAGUCCUUUUUAAACACUCAGUAAGAUGUUUGGGCCCGCGCGUAGGUACUUCACAUUUUUGUUCUGAAACCCUUUUGUCAGAUAAAAAAUUGCUAAAAAUCGGUUGUACACGGCCUUCUAAAACAAACCCGUAAGAGGCAGAAAAAGUCAAGUUAUGAUUCUUUCUAAAGUAGAAAGUAUUGGGGCUUUAGUUGGCCAGCAAUUACUCAAUUUUACCAGAAAGAUUUGUUCCAAUUCCUUGAAAGCGACAUAUGCGGGACACGUUCGAUCUGUGUUGGAGGAGCAGGGUUUUGCUUUAUGGGGGAACCCUUAUACUUCUUCCGAUGGCUUUGCAUUUAGUGGGAGCUGGAAGAAUCCAUGCUUACUCAAUAACUCUCCUAUAGUUUCCAAAGAUUUAUUAUUUCUAGUUAACUGUAAAUACACUAAGAAUCGUUAUGCCAUCUCUUGGUUUCGAGAAUUUGAAGGAGCUACUCUCAAGAAGUCAAGUCCUGUUAUCGGAGUUAUUGCGAGUUCGAAAGGAUUUUCAGGGCCGGUACUUCAGACCCUUUGCCGCUCUCCGACCCCUUUAUUGUUAUGUUGUGUAGAUCCCUUUCGGUGGUAAUAUUAGAAGUGUUAUUUGGACUACUUCGUUCGCUGAAACUUUGCCCAAUUUUCGUUGCGCUUUGAUGAAUCAUGGCAUCUCCUUUUAUUUGGAUGGAGACUUUUCUUCAAAAAAAUAAGAGUUAUUUGAUAACUAUCAAAAUAUAUUUUGUUGAC